AAACAUCUUGGGCGUACCGAAUAAAUGAAAUAAGGGGGUCUUUUGUUGGGUGGGUUUCUUCGUCGUCGUUGCAAACCACAACCCCCGUCGUAUCGUCUUACAUCAGAUCCUUCAAUGGAGUAAUUCAGUGUUAAUGGCGCUCAAUCAAUUCACCCCACUUUCUCCUCAUCAAUACAGUUUUUUCUCCUCCCCCAUCAAUCGACUUGGCUGUAUAUAUAUGGUCACAAGGCCCUGAAGAGGAAUCCCAGCACUCAUGGAAGUUUCUCUGUGCCUCGACGAACUGGAUCUUACACAGCAGCCUCCAGCGCAGAUGGCAAGAGAUCUGCGAGAUAACGAAUGGAAGUUCAAACAUAUUUUUCGAGGCUCAACACUUUAAUCCACUUGCUGAGGAAAGGGGCCAUCUAGGAGUCAAGCGAAUUUGAUGUCAUAAGAAGUAACAGCCACUUCAAAUUCACAGACAUCGCAAUCUCCAUUCGGUUGAACGAUCUGAUCAAAUUAGAGGAUCUCACGGAGACGACUGCCAUGAUUCGUACUGAGAAGUUCAGGGUCCGGAAAUAUGAACAGAUCAUGGUUUUAGCCAGGUAUUUUUUUUCAUCCAUAUUCUGAUAUAAUAUUUUUGGUCAUGGUUGUUGCAUCAAGACCACCUUUAAUGCUGAAAAUCAAACCAUCCAGCGUAUAAUGCUUUCAAUUCAAGUUGGUCGGUACGUACCCCGCGCGCUACUGUUUCUUUGUUGUUGUAUGUCGUUUGUUUGCUUUGUCAAUGUCGUUUGUUUCUUAAUAACCCAUACACCAAUAUGCAGUGGGACAAUGAUAUGUGUUAGUGUCUUUGAUAAGGUUACAGAUAACCUCCACCAGAAGUUUGAGCUUGCGGGAUUGAAGCCUAAAGUCAUGGUUGCCACCAACGUUAACCAAAAGUGGCUGGAGGGUGCCUUUUCCUCAAUGUAACCUUGGUACACACUUUUAUUUUGACAAAGAAUGUAUAGCCACCGAGAGUAUGCUAGCAGCAUUGGCUGGAUCUCAGGAUGCUAGCACCUCCACUUCUACAAGUAUGGAGGUGUGAAGAAAAAUGAAACUGUUACUCUAACUGAGCUUAACAACUACAUUCUUAAAUCUCCAUCACAGACAGCAAAAUACUACAACAUUGAGGGAGGCUCUGUUCUGCAUCUUGUCCUCUGAGUAGUAACUCAUAUUUUUUGGGUUUAGUGUUUACUGAGGCCUUGAGUGAAGCCCUCCACUUUUGGCUCUACUUAUGUAAGAAUAAAGCAAACGAAUAUCACAAUGUACAUUAAACUGUAAAGCAUAUGGCUGUUUCUGCAAACCCAGCUCGGAGGUUCUUCUUUCUUUUUUUUCAGUCAUCAAGGAUGUUAUUAAUAUUACAGGCACAAUCAAACUUAUUGGAGUAUCGUUAACAAAAACAGAACAAGACAAAUACAAGCAUUUUGAUGAGUUUGUUUA
Long non-coding RNA from Brassica rapa (field mustard), 1455 nucleotides. RefSeq lists it as uncharacterized. NCBI's taxonomy places the organism in Eukaryota, Viridiplantae, Streptophyta, Magnoliopsida, Brassicales, Brassicaceae. The record is from RefSeq and is a predicted model, not a curated record.